Molecule: long non-coding RNA, 7372 nt
Filed under: Populus tremula
Lineage: Eukaryota; Viridiplantae; Streptophyta; Magnoliopsida; Malpighiales; Salicaceae
Description: long non-coding RNA (PTRE_LNC000335)
Source: RNAcentral
CUGUCACAUCCAGCAACCUUAACUCCUUGAGUUCUCCUAUUUCAUCAGGUAAUUCUUCGAUGGAUAAGCACCACAUAAGACCAAGAAUCUUAAGUCCCUGCAGCUUUCUCAACCAAAUGAGGUCCUUGCAUUCGCACUCCAUCAACACCAUCGAUUGAAGUUUCGUUGAGAGUUCGAGUGAUUGCAAUGACAAACACCCUCCCUUCACAGACAAAACUUCAAUUUCUUUCAUCCCUUCAAAAAACCUCUCUUCCAUAAUCGAUCUGCUCUCCCUUCUUUACUCUUUUCUUUAAUUUUCAAACCUAACAUAUCUGCCAGUCGAUCCUGGAUGUCUGUGGCAUUUGGAUUCUGCGACACCGUAGCCAUCAAAACUUCAUCAAACAGCUGCAACUCUUUGGCUCUCCUGCCUACUUCUUUCACCAGGGUGGUUUUACCCACCCCUUCCAUGCCGUACAGUCCGAUCAUAUUGACGUUGUCAUCUUUGAGAGCUUUCAUAAUCUGUUCCAAAGCUUCUUUUGACGAUUCUGAGGGCCUGAAAUCCUUUGAUGGAAGAAAUUCUAUGGGCUCAGGAUGAGCUCUGUGGGACACUUUUGUAGGCUUUUUUUCUAAAUGUUCUCUGAAAGUCUCCGACUUCUUGGCCAGUACCUUGCUUAACUUGAAUUGUCGCAUGCAGUUUGGACACCAAGUGAAGCAUUUGCCAUUUUUUCCUAUUUCAUGUACAAUUUCUUCAGCAUCUACCAGCCACUUUUCGACAUCUUUGUAAAUUUCUUCAGCAUUCCUUUCAGCAGCUUCGACAUCGUCUUGCAGACGUUCUUUUUCCGAGACCAGCUUCUCCUGUUGUUGUUCGAAUUCCUUAACAAAAGUGUUGAAACAGAACAUGUAACGGAACUGCCUUCCUACUGGUUCCACCAUGAGUUCUGCUAUCUUAGAUAUAAUGGAUCCACCCACACUUUCGAUAGCCAUUUUCCACCAGUCUGAAAAUCAGAGAAAUGAGGAUACAGGACGUGAGAGUGAGUCACAACAAGCAGGCGCAGAGAGAAUGGGAAUAGGAAUUUCAUUACCUUAACUUGAGAAAAUAUGUGCGGAAAGUACUGAGAGCUCAAUGAAAUAGCGGGAGGAAGAAGAGGAGAAGGCCUUUAGCUCUGUAUGGAAUCCAGCUUCAAAAGCAACAAGGCAAGGUAUAAAAAUUCUAGCUGACACUUGUGAGUUAAAGCAGUAAUUCCCAUUAAAAAUGCAUUUUGAUGACAUAAUUAAGAUCAAAUAGAGACAGGAAAGGCACGGUUGAGAUAAGUAGAGGGAGAGGUUGUUGGAGGCAGAAAAGGAAAGACUACGAUAAUAUUUUUCUCUAUAUUUUGAGUUUUAGUUGUUAAUAGCCAUGCUCUUGCAAAUAAGGCAGGAAAUAGCGUGUUUGUUUUUUAUUUUUUAAAGUAUUUUUUUAAAAAAUAAAUUUUUGUAUUCUAAAUUAAUUUUUUUAUUUUUAUAUUGCUAUUAAAAAUAUUUUUUAACAAAUAAAAAAAUAUUAUUUUAAUAUAUUUUUAAAAUACAAAUAUAUUUAAAAAAACUACUACUUAUUCAAACACUUAAAAUAAAAAUCUUAAAAUCACAGCAUGAUAAAAGGAGAAGGAAAGGAAUGGGAUAAAGAAGGAAGAAAAUACUAUUUGUUUUUUUACUGUAUCAGAGUGGUUUUUAUAAUUAUAUUUUUUAAUAUUUCUUGUUAUUAUUAUAUAUAUAUAUAUAUAUAUAUAUAAUAUUUUAAUAUGUUUUUAAAUAAAAAAACUAUUUUAAAAAAAUAUGUGUCACAAUACUAAAUUAUACUAUAAAUUAAAAGAUAAAGAGCUUUCUGUUCAUUACUAUUUACCGAGACUUAUUUUAUUGUGGAUGUGGAUAUUAAUAGUGAAUAUUUUUAAAAUUUUCAAUUUGGUAUUUGAAUUAUUAUUUUUUUGCAUAAUUGAAUCUCUUCAUGCUCAAAUUAAAACUCAAUUGCAUUUUUUUUAAGGAUAAGAGUUGAAUUAUAAGAUAGGUGACUAAAAUGAAAAACUCAGUAAAAAUAUGUGGCGACACUGUAAUUGUUUGCAAAGUUCAUUUUAGUCCUGUAUCUUUUAAGAUGUCCCAAUAAUUUCUCAACAUUACAUUUUAUCUAGAAUCUCUGAUUAUGCUCUAGGGACUAUAUUGAAAUUUUCAUAAAUUGAGAAAUCAAACUAAAAUUUCAUCACCUUCAAUCUCAAACCUAGAAUUUUCACAUAUCACCUGCUGAUAUAACAAAAUUUCGAACUCAAAUUCACCAUUUAAACAACCCAUAACUCAAAAUCAUCAUUUUUACUUAAAAACUUUUAAAAUCAACUAAAUAACUCAUUGUCCAUAACAAUGAGCACAUAAUAUUCAAAUCAAUUCAUCAAUCAAACCCAAAACACAAUCUUCAAAACCCUAAUAUUCAACAAAACAGAAAAUUAAAGCUAAGAAAAACACAUUUAUCCACAUCAAAGUGUAAAUAUUCUUACAUUUUAAUUUAUUUUCUCUAACUCUCUUAUCCUUUCUUUAUCUUUUCCUAGUUUCUCUUUUUUUUCUUUCACUCUCACGGUUCUCUAUAAGAUUUCAGAUCUAUCUUUUUUAUUAUUAUUUAUAUUUUGAACUCUUUAUUCAAUUACUACAAUACCGUUCAUUCAUUUAUACCUACUUCUAAGCCUCCAUGGGUUUUGUUGUCUUUUUCUAUUCUUUUUUAUUUUCAAAUCAUUACAAUAAAAUUGUUUUCUUUUCAUUAAGCUGCUAAUUUAUGCAGCUUUAGCUCUUGUUCUCUUUUCAUGUUUAGCAACUCUGAUCUGUUUCUUUUCUUUACAUGAUAUAAGGGCAGGUUCUUACCUCUUGAAGUCUGCUGGAUAAACCUAUAAGCAGAAGAUCCUGAAGCGAUCCCAAAUCACAGCUUCAAUCCCCACCACAACCAAUCUCCUCUUUCCCGUAGUCUGUCGUCCUCAAUUGGGAAAUGAUCUCAAAAAAUCACUUGAUGCAACAAGUAGGGUAGAGAAAUAUAAGACUUCAACAAAGAAUCAAACUCAAAAAAGUUGAAGUAAUUGUCUAUGAGAAGCAUUUCUGUGUCACACACUCAAGUAAUAUGAUUGACCUAUUACAUUAUACAAAUUAAUAAUAAUAAUAAUAAUAAUAAUAAUAAUAAUAAUAAAAGAACUAGGUUUUUGAUGGCAUCCAGAGUGCUGUUACUUUCAAACAAAGAGGCUUGUGCAUGCGGUGUUACGCUGUUCAUGUACGCUAAGAUCUCCUAUGAAUACAAUAAUAUAAUCAUAAAAUUGUAUUAGUUUUAUUAAGCUGUUAAUUUAUGCAGCUUUAGCUCAUGUUCUCUCUUCUUGUCUUGCUAUUCUGAUUUUAUCUUUUUCUUCGCAUGAUAUAAGAGCAGGUUCUUACCUCUUGAAGUCUGCUUCAAUCCCCGUAGUCUUCCGUCCUCAAUUGGGAAAUGAUCCAAAAUCAACAACUGGUCCGGAGAUAGUUUGAGUGAAAAGAAACGGCUGAAAGAUGAUAUGUGAAGGUUAUGGUGAGAAAUUAGAUGACAAACUUACUUUGUCCUACUAAUGCUUUUGCUUUCAUUGUUUCCAUAGCAAUGUCUCAUCUUUUGAUAUGGUGGUACAAGAUACACCAUGGUAUGGUGGUCUUGCAGGAAAUGUCUUAGCUUUUGAUAUGGUGGUACAAGAUAUCCAUGAUCAGUUUUCGAAAGAUUCGAGUCUCCGUUCUAGUUCAGGUUGGAAGCUAGGCCGAAAGCUAAGAUUCUUUUAUUAGUGGUUGGUGUGGAUGAGUAUUGCAAGAAUGGACUCAAAGGAUCAGCUAAUCCGCAUAAUUAAACUACUAGGAAAUUCAAGGAAAGUUAACAAUAGCAUUGAUUCGAUCAAGGGGAUCCGGUGUCUAGAGAGGACCUUGCCGUUAAGGAAAUAACCAUAAAAACUAUGGAGCCCACUAUUUAUUAAUCCAUUUCUAUUUACUACUUAUUACUAUUUAUUUAUUUUUAUUAAUUACUAUAUUUUUGUUUGUGUACCAAUAAAAUUUGAGAUUCCUUUAAUUUUUUAGGUGCAUGGUCUAGUCUAAUUGGCUGCAUGUACAAAUCAAUUCAAGGGUGUGUAAUCCUUAACUAUCAGGCUAACCUUUACAGGCUUAGCUAGCAAUCGAUAAUUAAUUUUUAAUGAAUUCAAUUUUUAUUUAAAAUAAGGAAAAAGACAUUGGUGAAUAAAUAGUUUCCUUCCUAUUAUAAUUGUUAGACCUUACCAAAGGGCUAAUUUAGAAAAAGACUAACUUAUAGGUCUAACAAUUAAAGAAAAAAGUAUAUUUAGACCUUCCUAUUAUUGGUCAACUUGUGAUUAAGUAGAUCAAUUUAAAUUAAUUAUUCAAAACCCAAAAACAAUCUUCAAAACCCUAAUAUUCAACAAAACAGAAAAUUAAAGCUAAGAAAAACACAUUUAAUAAAUCGUCAUCUCUUUCAGGUUUACCACAGCCUCUUCUCUGGCUCGGAGACACAGAGACAGUGAAGACAUAUUCCAGUUUACCACAGCCUUCUAUGAUGAUAUUUUUUAAUUUUGGGAAGCGAGGAGACUCUGGAACUAUUUCCCUUUCACCAUCCUCCUCUCUGAUAAUAUGCUUCAUAUUCCAGUUUACCACAGCCUUCUAUGAUGAUAUUUUUUAAUUUUGGGAAGCGAGGAGACUCUGGAACUAUUUCCCUUUCACCAUCCUCUUCUCUGAUAAUAUGCUUCAAUUCACCGCAUACACUUAUCUCAAGGAAAUUCAGCUGUGGCAGACUUUGAAGAGUUAGAGACACGAAGACAUAUUCCAGUUUACCACAGUCAGAUAUACGGAGAGUUUUUAAUUUUGGGAAGCAAAGGGACUGUGGAAUUAUUUUCCUUUCACCAUCCUCUUCUCUGAUAAUAUGCUUCAAUUCCCCGCAAUCUCUUAUUUCAAGGUUUUCUAGCUUUGGCAGACUUCGCGCAAGGGACUCUGUGAAGAUAAAUUUCAGUUUGUCGAGAUACCGCAAUUCCAGAUGAGCAAGAUUUUGGAGGCUGACAUGUCCGGUGGGCCCCUUCCAUAUGCAUUUGACCUCAGGUAACCAUCGCAGCUGUAACUUCUUUAAAGAUGACAGCAGCGGCAGCUCCUUCUCCUCACUGCUUCCUUCAUCAGCCUCACCCAAUUCAAAUACCUCUUCCAAUGAUUUGCAUCUGUCAACAGUCACCUCCUUUAGAGUUUUCAAAUUUGUCAACCCCUGCAUCAAAAGAAAUUUUGUGCACUUUUGAACUAUAUAAUUUUGGUAAAUAGAUGAACGAAUUGUCCAUAUAAAACUUCAGCAAAAAAACUUAUCAACAAAAGGAUAGAAGUAGACAUGGCAACAAGGCAUGGGAAUAUGAAAUCAUAAGCUGCAGGACUGAAACAAACAACUCAAUAUUAGCAGAUGAAGGUUUCUCUUCCUAUUCAAAUACUUCCAUUAAUUGAGGGAAGAGCCUCAAUUUCACUCAAACUGGGAAAGCAUAAAUUAAGAUUGAAAAAUCUGGAUAUCAUUUCAUUACAAUAAUUAAUUUCUUAAUUCUUAAGCCCUACAUCAAGAGACAAGGAAUGAUACAGUUAGACAACUCCUUUUAAAUUUAGUGGAUGGCUAGAGGAUUUAUCUCUACUUAUCAAUUACUUCAGUUUCAGAAAUUUGGAAGAGAAAUCAACUUGUAUUGAAUUUGACAAUUUAAAUUAAAAAGGAAAAAAAUUAUUGGAGAAAUAUAGAGGACGUACUUGGAACUGUGCAGACAAAUUUCCCAAUUCUUUGUGGUCAUUGAUUUCUAGAUAUUGCAAAGAAGGCAAUUGGACAGCAAAAUUCUUUGGACCUAAAAAGCUGCAAUUUGAAAGAUACAAUGUUCUUAGCCGAGGGAACUUGAUGAUGAAAUCUGUGGGGAGUGCAUCUUCUUCUCCACUGUAAAAUAUUUGCUUUAAAUUGUCAGCACCACCAAUCGUCAUCUGUUCCAGGUUCGGAAGGUUCGGAGACACGGAGACAGUGAAGACAUAUUCCAGUUUACCACAGCCUUCUAUGAAGAUUUUUUUUAAUUGUGGGAAGCGAGGAGACUCUGGAAUUAUUUCCCUUUCACCAUCCUCUUCUCUGAUAAUAUGCUUCAAUUCACCGCAAAAUUGUAUCACAAGGGUUUCCAGCUUUAGCAGGCUUCGAGCGAGGGACGUUGUGAAGAUAAAUGUCAGUUUGUCCAGAACAUACAAUUCCAGAACAACAAGACUUUGGAGGCUGACAUGUCCGGUGGGCCCCUUCCAUAUGCAUUUGAGCUCGGGUAACCUUGACAGCUGUAACUCCGUUAAAGAUGACAGCAGCGGCAGCUCCUUCUCCUCAUUGCUUCCUUCAUCAGCCUCACCCAAUUCAAAUACCUCUUCCAAUGAUUCGCAGUCCUUAAUUUCCGCACUCUUUAGAUUUUUUAAACCUUGCCGCAAUCUUGCUGGAAACAGAGUGAAAACAUCCCCACAAUCCCACACUUCUACAAAUUCUAAUUUAUGUAAAAACAAUUGCUCAAAUAUCUUCGCAUUUAAGCAAGCUAACUGGAAAACCAAUCUUGUCGAGGUUGGGUAUCCAUAAUUGGGUAACGCAAACCGAUUCCCUAAUAUUAUAUCAAAUUUGCGCAAGCUAACUGGAAAAACAAAAUCUCUGGGAAUGCAUUCAACCUUCGGUAUCGUCAAUGAUAAUACGGCUAACUGAGACAACGAAUUUAGUUCUGUUAGGCUUGCAUUCAUUCCUCCUGUGCUGUCACAUCCAACAACAUCCCAUCCCCGAAAGCUGCAAUACCCGAUCAACAGCUCUUCUAACUUCUUCAACCUUCCAAUCAAAUUCACAGGGAUCCUUCUUAACCUUCGACAACCUGUCACAUCCAACAACCUUAACUCCUUGAGCUCUCCUAUUUCAUCAGGUAAUUCUUCAAUGGAUGAGCAACACUGAAAAACAAGUAUCUUAAGUCUCUGCAGCUUUCUCAACCAAAUGAGGUCCUUGCAUCCACAACUGAUCAACACCAACGAUUGAAGUUUCGUUGAGAGUUCGAGUGAUUGCAAUGACAAACACCCUCCCUCCAGAGACAAAACUUCAAUUUCUCUCAUCCCUUCAAAAAACUUAUCUGGAACAUUCAUACCAUCAUCCAGUUCUAAUAAUAGAACUUUGAGCUUUGGACAUACCAAUCCUUCAGGAAGUUCUGCUAGAUUAUUGCCCAUUAACGAAAUUGUUGUACAACCUCCAAAGCUUUUAUCAUGAAAUGGCCACUCCUUCAACUCAUUGACAGCCUUUACCAUGAAUCCAUAUUCUUCUGAUGAUGCUAUCUGAAUAGCAACAUCACGAACCAAGUCAUGCAUUUUCACGUGU